UUGUUUGGAGCUCUUUUUUAUUUUAUUUUAUUUUUUUAGAGAGAGAUAGGUAGCACGCUGCUCGUUUCGUUUAUUUUAUUUAAAAAUAAACUUAGUUGAAAAUAUGAAUCAACUAGAAUUCGAACUUGGAUUUCAGAUACCAACCACCAAGCCCUUUGUCACUUGCUCUAUAAUUUGGAGCUUUUUUUUUACGUACUAUAUCAUUCAAGUUUCAAAUUAAUCAUUUUAAAAAAAAGUAAUUAUUUAAUUAUAAUAAAAUGACUAAAUUAUAGAGGCAUAGUUUAAUUAGUUCAAAAUAUAAUAAUACGGUGUCACCGUCAGCUUUCAAACUUUUUUUGCGCUACUAUAUAUCAGUCAUACCAUAUUAUUUAUUAACAGACAAUCAUAUUUUCUUUUUUGAAUAAAAAAUAUAAUAUUUUUUUAAUAAUUAUGAUGAGAUAAAUAAAUUUUUAAAAAAUAAAUUGAUUAAUUAAUAAUAAUUAAUACAUGAGCAAUAUCACUGAUACAAUUUUUUUAUUUUUUUUUAUUUUCCCCUCUACGAGCCGGCUGCUGCAAGCCAUGGGCUGGGCAAAAAAGAAAGGUAGUCGUCUAGAAGGCCUUCUGCUUGGCUGACGUACGUCUGCCCUCUCGCCAUCAGCACUCUCGCUUCUUGUCUGCUUCACUUUUCUCCUCCACGGCAAAUAAUUGUCACCGCCGAGCACUGUGUGCGUACGACUUCCUUCUCACUUGUGCAAUUUUUUAAGGGAAAACUUCAAAAAACCCCCCUGUGGUUUCGUGCAUUCUCACUUUGCUACCCUGUGAUUUAAAACGUAUCAAUUUGCCCCCCUGUGGUUUCGUUUUUAUCUUUUUGUUAUCAAUUUUAUUAUUAUUAUUUUUUUAAAUCAGUGACAAAGUUAAAAUUAAAGGAUACUAAAGUGACUAUUCGAUAAAUAUAGAUGGUUAUCUGAAGUUUUUUGUAUAUAAUUUAACGAAAUAUUAACAAAAAAGCUUCCGAAAAGAUAAAAACGAAACCACAGGGGGGCAAAUUGAUACGUUUUAAACCACAGGGUAGCAAAGUGAGAAUGCACGAAACCACAGGGGGGGUUUUUGAAGUUUUCCCAAAUGGAAACCUAAGUCUUUCUAAUAUUUAUCUACGAUAAAAAUAUUUGGCUAAAUUAUACUUUGUUUCUCAAAUUUUAUUCUAUUAUAAUUUCUAGAUCAAAAUUUAUAAAUUAUUAUAAUUAAGUCUCAUAAUUUAAUUUAAUUAGCUAAAUAUUAAUAUAUCGAAAAUCGAUGUGAUAUUUUAAUCGUUGCCGCAUUAUCAAUUACAGAACUACCACGUUACCUCUGCAUUAGCAAUGCACUAAUAUUCGAUUAAUUUAAUAGAUUUUAGGACUUAAUUAUAGCAUUUUAAAAAUUUAAACUAAAAGAUAUAAUAAACUAAAAUUUUAAAAUUAAAUUUUUUUUUGACUGUUACUGUUUUAGCUAAAGAUUGGCAGAUUGCGUUUGAAAAUGGAAUGAAAAUAGGAGUUAUAAUAAUAUGAUGUGGGGAGGAGGAAAAGGAAAUGGCAACCGAAAGGCAGCAGGUAUCGAUGCAAAUGAAAAGAGUUGAUUAAUUUUGGGAAAACUUCAAAAACCCCCUUGUGGUUCCACAUUUUUUCACUUUAGUACCCUUUGGUUUAAAAUGUAUCAAGUCAGUACCCCGUGGUUUCUCACUUUAUCACUUAAGUACCCUGUGGUUUAAAGUGUAUCAAGUUAGUACCCUGUGAUUUUGCACUUUAUCAUUUUAGUACCCUGUGGUUUUAAUUUUGUAUCAAGUUAGUACCCUAUAGUUUUUAAAUCACAAGGUACUAAAGUGAUAAAGUGUGAAACCACAGGGUACUAAAGUGAUAAAGUGCAAAACCACAGGGUACUAGCUUGAUACAUUUUAAACCACAGGGUACUAAAGUGAUAAAGUGAGAAACCACAGGGUACUAACUUGAUACACUUCAAACCACAGGGUACUAAAAUGAAAAAGUGUGAAACCACAGGGGGGUUUUUUGAAGUUUUCCCUUUCCAUUUUAAGUGUAACUCGUAAAUUUUCUUUCCGGGCUCUUCUAGCUGUUGUUAAGUUCUUAGCAUAGAAUACUAAUAAAAAUUAAGAUUUGUUUUACAAUUUCUACACAAAGAAACAGAAAAAAAAAACCUAAAAAGUUUAGUAUUCUAAUAAAUUAAAGUACUCCCUACUUCUCAAAACACCAAAAAAAAAAAAAAUCUCGUUUUAUUUUUUUAUAAAUAAACUCUGCUGACAAUAUAAAAUAAUUAGAUUUUGAAUUUAGAACCGCAUAUGUUUGAUUCUAACCAUGAAAUUGUUAAUCCAACAUAUCAGUUAAAAAAGUACCAGUAAUUAUGAGGAUGUUGGCUCAUUAUCCAUAUAUUCAACCUCUUUAAUAAUUCUUGUUAUCCUUCUAGAUGAGUUUCUAUGAAUUGAUGUUUAGCUCACCGUUGUCCCAAGCGGAACCCACAUGACUCAGGCCUUCUAGAAGCUCAUCACCUGCUCUUCUAGAAGGUGGACCCGGGAAUCACAAAAGACACUACAAUUGUAGGGCCCAUCAGUGAGUAGCAAAAUUGGUCCAUCCUUCUAAUUGGUACAUGAAAGCAAUGUACUUUACCAAGUUUUUUUUUUUUCUUUUCUCUUUUUUAUUUAAACUUAGGAUAAGUCCAUGGAGAAUUGAAACCACUUUUUAACAUAUUUACUUCCGAAACAAUUAAAAUCAAUAUACAAUGCAUGCACCGACUCUUUCUAGAGCAAGUGACAAAGGGUUUGAUGGUUGGAGCAAGUGACAAAAGAUUUGAUGGCUGGUAUCUGAGGUCCUAAGUUCGAAUCAUAAUUAAUUUAUAUUUCCAGCUAAGUUUAUUUUUAAAUAAAAUAAACGAAACAGCUAGCGCGCUACCUAUCUUUCAAAAAAAAAACAUAUAUACUAUGCAUGCCAUUAAGGUACUAAAAAAGCUUGCACAUAGCAGUGGGUUAUGGACCCAUUAAAAGUAUUAAAUACAACACAGGGCCUAACAAAACUUGUUAGAGUCCCAAGUUUUUCUUUAAUUAAGCAUUUCUUUGGAUAAGGAACUUGUGAGGUGUAGGAAAAGUUCUAAUCUCUCGUAUAUUUCUUUAAUAAAAGAAUUGUUAAGAUAGCUUGUUUGGUCACUGAGUGCUAUCCAAAUGGGACACACCAACUGUUGUGUUAGUGUGACAUAUGCUUGCCUUUUAAGACUGAAACAUAUAUAAAAAAAAAAGAGAGAAAUGUAGUCUAAGCGAUGUAUUUGUUUUGGUGCAUAGUGCACUUCACAGGGACGUCGCAUGUCCAGUUUUUAUAGUAAAAAACCCAGAUUCUAGAAGCACCAAGGUUUCUAAUUAAUUAUGUCAACAUAGAAAGAGAAAGGGAGGAGAAAGCGAAGUCACGCUUUGCAAAUCGUGCUAUUGGAAUGAUCUACAUACAAACACAGGAGAAAGCUGGAGCUAUGAUUAUGAUACGAGUGUCAAAGAAGUAGGAGUGGAUUCCACAAGACAGGUCAAUGUACGGUGCAUCUUUAACGUGCCAAAAAAUAAUUAAAAAAAUUAUAUAUAUAUAUAUAGAGAGAGAGAGAGAGAGAGAGAGAGAGAGAGAGAGUUGGGUCCUAAUCCACCUGUCGAGACCUAAGCCUAACUUGAUCUGAUCCUCACACUGAAUAAGGGUCAAAUCCAAUCAAUAAAUAAUGAUCAAAAUUCCAACCGAUGAUUAGGGCAUAACCAGUUUAGCUUUAUCAACAAUUUCUACCGUGGAAAUUAUAGUGUGUACUUAGACAAAUAAAAAUUUUGAAACUUUUACAUCUAUAAAAUAUUAAACAAUUUUUUUCGGGAUCCUAACAAUAGUCGUUUUUUUUUUUUUCUAUUUUUAGUUUUGCUUUUUGUUAUGAGAAUUUGUUGAAAGAAAUUUUAUGAAAUUUUUGAAAAGCCACAGCUGGUACUUUUGGGAGCCAAUUUAGCUCGGCCCAGACCCAACCCGACAACCCCCAUCUGAACUCGGGUCCAAAUUAUGGAUUCGGUUCAACCCAACCCAAAUCCAUUUAUUUGGCCGCACGCGUCAUGGCGGGAGAGAGAGUUCAUUACAAAUCUCGCUCCUCCAUCUCUCUCUCUCUCUCUCUCUCUCUCUCUCUCUUUCUCUCACACGCACAUACACACACAACGCACAAACACAUACACGCAUAUUCGAGCUCAUGAAGAAGCAGAAGCUCUUUCUUUCUCCUCCCACACUCUCUUCUCCUCUCCUCACCAUUCUCCGCCUCAUCUCCUCCCCCUUCACCACCACCUCCACCGCCAUUGCCGCCGCCAUUGCGAACUCCGAACGUUCUGAAGACGACGAAGCUUCGCUCUCCUCCCCGCUCGUCAUCGCCGAAAACGACCUCCUACGGGCGAGCCACAAGACCCAACACGGCCUCCACGUCCUCGACCUCGUCGACGCCGGAGCCCUCGAACCCACCUCCGUAAUCUACUCCUCAAUCAUCAAGAGGUGCACCCAACUGCAGAAGCUUAAGGCGGGUAAGAUCGUUCAUGCCCACUUCCUCAAUUCGAGGCUCAAAGGCGACGUCUUUUUCCACAACUCCAUCAUCAACAUGUAUUGUAAAUGCGGGAGCUUGGAGGACGCGCACAAGGCGUUCGACGAAAUGCCCUCGAGAGAUAUGGUCUCAUGGACGGCUCUGAUCACUGGAUAUGCUCAGAGUGAUCGGCCGAGAGAGGCACUUGAGCUGUUCCCGAGAAUGCUCAGGCUCGACCUUAGACCGAAUGGGUUUACUUUCGCGAGCCUUUUCAAGGCUUGCGGGGCCUUUUCUGAUGAUGAAACCGGUAAACAAAUUCACGGAGUGUGUAUAAAGUACGGUUGUGAUCUAGAUGUUUACGUGGGGAGUGCCUUGCUGGAUAUGUAUGCUCGCCACGGGAACAUGAACGAAGCAUGUUUGAUCUUUGAGCAUUUGGAUUCCAAGAACGAGGUAUCAUGGAAUGCUUUGAUAGCUGGUCAUGCGAGAAAAGAAGAUGCAGAAACUGCUCUUAAGCUGUUCUGCGACAUGCAAAGGAAUGGCUUUGGGGCAACCCAUUUCACCUAUUCGAGCAUUUUUAGCGCCUGCGCGGGUAUUGGCGCUCUAGAACAGGGGAAAUGGGUUCAUGCCCAUAUGGUGAAAUCGGGGCAAAAGCUUACUGCCUUUGUCGGUAACACUAUUCUUGAUAUGUACGCCAAAUCCGGGAGUAUAGGCGAUGCAAGGAAAGUGUUCGAUCGAUUGGAUAAAAGAGACAUUGUUUCUUGGAACUCCAUGCUUACCGCAUGCGCUCACCAUGGGCUUGGUAAAGAAGCUGUUUCCAUUUUUGAGGAGAUGCGUAGGAUUGGUAUUCAGCCGAAUCAGAUCACUUUCCUCUGUGUUCUCACAGCUUGUAGCCAUGGUGGGCUUUUGAGAGAGGGAAAGCACUAUUUUGAGAUGAUGAAGAAAUAUAAGUUGGAACCGGAGGUCGAGCAUUACGUGACAAUCGUUGAUCUUCUCGGACGAUCAGGAUUUCUCGACCAAGCUCGUGAUUUUAUCAGGAAAAUGCCAAUAGAACCCAACGCUGCUGUUUGGGGAGCUCUUCUUGGGGCUUGUAGAAUGCACAAGAAUGCGGAAUUGGGGCAAUACGCGGCCGAGCGCGUCUUCAAACUGGACCCGAAUGAUGCGGGGCCCUGUGUGUUGUUGUAUAAUAUUUAUGCUACUGCUGGUAGGUGGAAUAAUGCAGCUAGAGUGAGAAAGAUGAUGAAAGAGAGAGGCAUGAAGAAGGAGCCGGCGUGUAGUUGGGUCGAAUUGGAAAAUUCAGUCCACAUGUUCGUAGCCAAUGACGAUUCACAUCCAGAAAUCAAAGAGAUUUACACUAUGUGGGAGCAUAUUAAUGGGAAAAUAAAGGAAGCUGGGUAUAAGCCGGAUACUGAGUAUGUGUUUUUACAUGCUGAUGAGCAGGAGAGAGAGGCGAAGUUACAGUAUCAUAGUGAGAAAAUCGCUCUUGCAUUUGCAUUAACAAAGAUGCCACGAGGGGCAACCAUACGUAUCAUGAAGAAUAUAAGGAUGUGCAGAGAUUGCCAUUCUGCGAUUAAAUAUGUUUCUAAGGUUAUGGGGAGGGAGAUAGUUGUGAGAGAUACGAAUCGGUUCCACCAUUUUAGCAAUGGUUCUUGUUCAUGUAAUGACUACUGGUGACCACCGGCAUUCUAUAGUAUUCAAGUUCAGCAGAAACAAGAAGGAUAUGAUAAUUUUGAUAUUCUAAAUGAUGAAGAAAGUGAGGAGAGGUGAAGGCACAAAGAUAAAGAUUGUGUUCUGAAUCGGGACAUAUAUUUUUUUCCGGAUGUUAUUGCAAAGGGUGGGGAUUCCUGGUACCUGUUUGCUUCAUUGAAUGUCUGUAUGAAUGGUGGAGAAUUAAUCGACUGGUGAACCGCUUAUUUGAGUUAUCGGAAAACGCAUCAAGUGCUUAUUUGAGAAGCUAAGCUCUUACGGCAUUCAUCUGGUAUGUUCUUUUCUUACACAUCAUAGUAUUAUCUGCUUAGCGGACCCUUUAGGAUUGUCUGCUUGGUGAAACUUUUGAGAAACAAAAUCGUCAUCAAACUUUUCUGCAACUUCUUCAAUUCUGUUGGCUAUCUGCUUAAUGGACCCUACUGAAUGAAGCAGCUAGCUCGCCACCUUUUCUCAGGGAAAAAAAAAACUUAUUCUUCAAUUUUUUUGGUUAUCUCAUUUGCAUGACAAUGUACUAAUUCUAUCUGAUCUAACUAUUAAUGCAAACAAUAGAUAGACAGCUGGGAUACUCUACUAGAAGAUAACUAGAAUGCUAAAAGGAUCAAUUUCCCCCAAUACAAGCACUCGAAGAAGCUUAAACCUUUAGCCUCUCUCAAGAGCCUUAAAUCUUGAUACAACCUAAAGUCGUCAUUUGUUUAUCUGAAUGCAUUUAUGAACUCUCUGAACAUGCCCCUUCAAACAUUGGAUCCCUCUGGUCUCUCAGAAACACCUUGCUAGUAGUAAAAGCCGAAGCCAAUCGAGCACAGCCGAGAACACUAGAAUAUGAUGUGAUGAAAUGCUAAUANUUUUUUUUUUUUUUUUUUUUUUUUUUUUUGUUGCAGAUGCUGAAUAUUUACAAAUCCAGACUUCUCUCGGAGCAUGCUCUUCGCAUCUUUGUUAAUUUGGGCUAAGCGGCUUCGGCACGAAGAAAGGUAUUUCAGCUACCCUCCCUAAUUCAACUAUUUUCCAUUUGAUUUAGUGAUUACCUCAAUUGUGAAGAUACCAGAUUUCGAGGCAAAGAACAUUAAAACUGCAAUAUUCUUAUAUUUAAACUACAGUACCUGAACUUGGAAUUAUUAUUGCGUGUGCGUUGUUCUUAUACGAUAAAAAUUAGUAGUAACAAUCGAAAAAAGUAUUAGAUUCAACCUGAAUAAAAAUAGUGAUUGAAACCGAGCCCUAAGCAAGCCAUGGAACAUCAAAAUGAGUGUCAUUAGUGCCAACGACAAGAACAAGAGCAAGAGCUUCAAAAUUCCAAGCAUCUAGUAAGUAACGGCUUCCUGAUUUUGCAGUCGAAAAAAACUAUCAGUUGCCUCCAAAGCCUGCAUGCUCCUCGCCGGAAACAGAUUGCAGUGUGGGAUUGAAUCUCAAAGGAAGAUAGAUUGAGAGCUGUCGGACAGCCGAUCACUGCCUACUCCUGGGCCAAAAUGGGUGGGUUCUGCAACCCGUCUUCCAGUUAUCCAAGUAUAUUACCACCCUCACCGCCGCGUAUGCUGCCGCCAUUGCCGCCGCCAUGCAGAUCCUCUGCACCUUCGCGCAGAGGAUCUGUACCACGCAGGAGGCAUAGGAGGACACGACGACAUCGUCGACGUCGACGACGUAGGGGAAAAGACAGAAGAGCAGGAUGAGGAAGCUCGGAGCCAUUCCUUAGUUUCCUUGGUUCUGCUCUGCUCACUGUUUCAGGCACUCAAUGCUUCGCUAGUACAGAACAGAUUACAUAAGCAUCAAGAGCCUUAAACGGUACUAUUGUUGUUGUUGUUGUUUUUUCCCCUUCGAUAAAAUGUCUGAAUGAUAUUGGAAUUUUAAAUUCAAAAGAGUCUAAUUAUUUUAUGUUUUGUAAUUUAAAUUUAUAUUAAAAAAAUAAACGAAGUGAAUAAUGCUAUCUUUCUCUUAAAAUAAAAUAUCAAAAUUUCGAUCUAACUUUUUUAUUUUGAAUAAAUUUAAGGACACUACUAACAUUAGAAAUUUGAAAAGUCACCAACUAUUAAUUAUUAAUAAAAUCUGUAGUUAGACUUCUAACUUUCGAAGGGACUAUAUUUGAGAAGGAAGUCUAUUGUAUAAUAUUUACAGCUCAUUAUUUAUUCCUAGUUAAUUAUAUUUUUCAUUUUGAAAGAAAAAUAUAAUAAAAAUAUUUCUCUAAAAAUUAUGAUUAGAUGAAUGAAUUCCAAAAAAGCUUUUUGAUUGAUUGGGCGUACCACAUCAAUAAUAUAAAUAUUGCUUUCUAAAUUUUUUUAUAUUUGAGGGGGAGUUUACAUUGCUAUUUCUUUGCUCUUAUGAGCAGAUUGAUAGGAAUUUUUUUUUUUAAUUGAUUUUAACCUUCAUUAAACCUUGGAAGGAGAAAAGGUGACGGAUAGAGAUUGACCAUCUAAUAUAAUUUAACCGUUCUAGUAAUCAGGAAGAUAGGAAGGAGCAGCAGCUUUGGUAGUAUACAGAUAUAUGGAUUGUAAUAAGAUCAAAACUAAAAUUAAUGAAUUUUUUUUACCUCGGGAAAAAAAAAGCAGAGAAAAAGCCUCGCAUGAGAAUUUUAUGAAAAAAAAAGAAAAAAAAAAAUCUAACGAAAACAAGCCAUGAGCCAUCACAAGAUAACUCAAAAAAGAGUUAACCUAGCGACCUUUCCAACUACCAUCAUCUCAAUCUCAUCUCCACAGCAAAAGAUGAUUCAACAUCUCCCACCAUUUAAAUCCACGUGUCAACUUCCAUGCCACGUGCCCUUCAUUCAUAGCGCACGCGUGCCAACUCCUCCUCCUUCCCCCUCUUUCCUCUGAUAUACAGUGUACACCCUCUCCUCCUCUCCCUCACACUGCCACACGUAGCCGUUACUUCCUAUUAAAAACACACUCAUAACAAGUACCAAAUCAUAAAAGUAUGGACGAUCCACGCACCAGUGACGGCACCACCGUCCUAUACGCCUCUCUCCCUGCCCUCGCCAUCGCAGGCCCAUUACUCAGCCUAAUGGGCUUCACUCUCUUAACAUCUCUCGCGCUCCUCCUCGUGGCCGCCCCUUUGCAGAUCCUAUUCAGCCCGAUCCUACUCCCCGCCGGCUUCGUGGUUGCGGCUGCGGUGGUGGCGUUCGGCACCGCAGGAGCCAUGGGCUUAGGCGGGCUUUGGGCUCUGAAUUGGGCUUUCGGUUACGCAACCCGUGGGCCUGCCGACAGGGCCGGGCCCACUAAAGUGGCGGGACCGGCUACGGAGACGCUGACCGAGUCGGGGCAGAGGGUGAAGGAACGAGCGCAGGAUUUUGGUGGCUAUUUGCAGUAUAAGGUCGACGUCCUCCCACCGGAGAACGCACCGCGCAAAGAGAACAUUAACGAGACUUAAUUUGCAGUGAUAGAGAGGAGAGGAGUUUAUCUACUUAGAUAUUAUAUAUCAUGUGUCUGUCUCAUAUGUAUAUAUGAAUGUUAUUUCUUCUUCUUGCUAUUCUUUUGCUGUUUGUUUAUUACUGUUUCUUUCUUUUCUCUCGCAAUUUGACCCUAAUAAACCCUACGUUGACGUAGCAACUUCAAGCCUAAAGCCCUAUACAAUCUCCCCCUUACUAAAAUUAGAAAAUUCCAAAACAACCGAACAUUGACCUAAAACCGUGUCCAAUUAAUACGAGCCCAUGCACCCGGUCAAAAUCAAAAGAAUUGUAUAUCACUCCCUCCCUGCUUCGAAUGGAAUUAUUUUUGGUUAACAUAACCGCCCACACCCUGGCCCCUUCGCCCACAAUCGUUACGGACGGACCCGACCUAAAGUUGUCACGCCACGGAAACACAGGUGGGCUCGCUCACUCCGCAACAGCUUUAGCCUUACGUGUUCCCUCACUAUCUCCACGCACGCACCACCACCCUUUUUUAUGUUACUUACUUAUUAAUUAACUUAAUUUUUUAUUUAAUUAAUUUGAGAUUGGUUUGGUAUUUUAUGAUGUCCCUUACCCUUCGCGCCAGUUUUGGUUGGUCAUGCAACACCUAUUCGCAACUUUCUCGUUUCUAUUUGCCGCGUGUUUGCGGCUAUGCAUUUAUCCAACCCCUCCUCGUUUCUAGUGCACCUGCGUAACACUUCAAAUUCCUAUUUUAAUUUUUUUCUUUGUCUUAUUAUUAGAAUAAUAAUAAUAAUUUUUACUUACAUGUAUCUUAUUCUGCAGAAACCGUCUUACUAUUUAUUAUUUUAUUAAAGCUACUCUUUAUUUACUAAUAAACUUUAAACAAAUUUGAUAGUUAAAAGAGAUAUUCCUUUAUUAAUUCAGUUGUGGACUAAAUGUUGAUUAAGAGUUAAUGAACGUUUAUAUUUAUAUGGUGCUCCGCGAGACACCACACCGGGGCUUUCGAAGGCAUAGCCCGUUCCGCCCUCGUUGCCCCCGUGGCGCCGAUCACGCGAUACGGCAUCUCCUCCUACGUGAAUUGACGAUUUUACCCUCGCCCAUCUCCUACCCUUGAGUGCUAUUUCCGGUCCUGGCCAGGGUCGAAAAGGGAAAUCAGGCGUGCAGAAACGGAGCUCAGUGGGAAAAAUUAGACGGUGCAUUCCAUGGAUGAGAGAACUCGUCCCCAUAAAUCCCCAACCCCUCCCCAAAGCGUCCGCAUAAAAGGAAAGGCAAAGCGGGGGAGGGAGUGAGGAAGAGCGUGUGUGUCGUUGAGACGGUUUCGGGUUCUCUCCCUCUGAGCCUCUGAGGCUCGCGUGGCGUACGAGCAAUCCCUUUGAGCUCUCCCCACACCAACUCUCUCUCUCUCUCUCUCUCUCUCUCUCUCUCUCUCUCUCUCUCUCUCUCUCUCGCUAUAUAUAUAAAUAUAUACAUACACCAUACAUACCCCACAACAACAACCUCUCCCUCCCCUUUUCUCAACGAGGCAUUAGAUCAAACACAUUCGCAGCAGCAUCGGAUCGAAGGUAAGGUUGGAAUCGAGAUUUUUCCUUAGCUUUCUAACGGUGCUCUUUUCGAUCGAUUUCGCUCGCGGAUCGAUUAAUCGAUCGAUCUGCGCGUGGUACGAUUCGAUCGGGGGAUUAGACCUAAUCGGUACUUGCGCUGUGAAAGGUAAUGGAUCGAGAGAACAAGAAGAGAGGGAGGAAGGAGAAGGAGGAGGAGUACCCGGCGAGGAAGGAGGAGGCGACGAAGGCGAGGAAGAAGAAGAAGCAGCAGCAGCAGCAGCAGCAGCAGCGCGGGGGAUCGAACGCGGCGGCGAUCGAGGAGGAGGAGGAGAAGGGGUGCGUUUUUGAGGCCUCAGCGGUGGAGGACACGUGUCGGCCGCGCGGGGUGUUCGAGUUCCCGUGGGACGACCACUGCGGGGAAGCGCUGGACGGCUCUGAUCUGCAGGACGUGUUCUUCUCCUCCCUCGUGGACGGCCGAUCCGCCGCCAUCGGCGUCCCCGGCGACCGCCUCUCGCCGCCCACCACCAGCCCCAUCGCGCUCCCCGACGAGGCCUCCCAGCCGUCCGAUGCGGAUGGGGACGCGGACGGCGUGGAUUGCAUCUGGAGCACCGUGCUCCGCGAGCCCCUCGCCGUCGUGUGCACCCGAGGGUUCCGCGCAUGAGCGAAUCAUGAACGAGAGGGUAAAAAAGUCAAAUCGUAAAAAUGUCGUAAUUGCCUUUUUUUUUUUUGUUUGUUUCCCUUUUCAACUUUUUAUCCUUUUUGUGUGACAAAUUAGUGAAGUUUAACCGUUUUAGAUGUUUAUUAUAGACAGUGAUAUUAACUGGUAAAAGUUUGAACUGCUUUUUUAGGGGGGAAAAGAAUAUUUGAAUUUUGAAAGAGAGAGGUUAAUUUGUUGCAUGGAAUAGUUUAUAUAACUUGUUUUCAGUUUUAUUAUCGUAUAAACUAUAUGGAUUUGAUUUAAUUGCUAGUUGCUGCAUGUAAAAUACUCGUACUCAUUCAAAUUAAGCAUAUGAGAAACUAAUUUUUUUUUAAUUUAAAUUGCAAAUGCUAUGCUGUCAUAUUUUUGAAUAUGACGUACAUUAUCCAGUGGUUAUGCUCAUUUAAUUAUAUGAUACAUAUGAAUAAAGUUUUAAAAAUUCUACGUGCAUGCGAAGGAACAAGCUCCAAUGCUUAUUUCUAGAGAUUGUAUAUUUGAGCAUAACAUGUAAAAAGUUUAUUUUUAGAAAAUUUUAAUCUUUCGAAUAAUCAGUUAUUUCAUUACCGCUUUAUUAGCAAGCUUUGAAUAGCACGUAGUUUUAUAAACUUUAUUCACCUUUUCGGAGUAAUAAUUAAUAUGAUCAAUUGCAACAUGUAUCGCCAUCUGAGUAAUUAAGUCCAUGAACUCUUUUUUUUAUUUAUAAAAAGCCCGUGGACCAGAUAUAUUUGAUAGGAAGCAACCAUUAAUUGAGCCCGAAUUUGCGACUAGUUGCGUACUGCAUGUAGGAUUUAAAGCCUUGAAAAGAAUCCUUUGCUUGAUUGAGAAAACUCUACAUGCGCUCUUCAUAUAUAUAUAUAUAUAUAUUUUUUUAAGAGAGAGCAUAUUCUGAGUAAUUUUUUAUAUUGCCAUAAAAAAUAUAUUAUAUUUAGUCAUAAUUUGAAUUUCUUUGCUCUGGAUAUGCCAUUUUUUGGGAGUUAAAUUAGGGAGAUCUACAAUCUAGAGCGUGAAAAACAUUGAAUUUGACAACCCACUCGCUUCAUUUUUCUAAAAAAACUCAAAUUUGGGUCUUUCCUUUCUAGAGCUGAAAAGCUUUUUAACCUAUUUAGAAGCUGCUACUUUUAGUUUUUUUUUUUUUUUUUUUUUUUUUUUUUUUUUUUUUUUUUUUUUUUUUUUUUGGCUUAAUGGCUAUCGACGGCUUUCCAGGCUAAAUAAACUAUAUAUUUUUUUGAAAAAGAGGCAUUACAAACACUAAUUCUAUAAUGUAGAGGCCACUUCUGCUUCUGUCUCAAAAUAUCUUUCACCGUGGCCUAUAAAUUAGCCAUGAACUCAAAAU
RNAcentral lists this long non-coding RNA (13136 nucleotides) under Ananas comosus (pineapple). Its description in RNAcentral is "long non-coding RNA (ACOM_LNC011152)". The record is from RNAcentral. Lineage: Eukaryota; Viridiplantae; Streptophyta; Magnoliopsida; Poales; Bromeliaceae.